RNAcentral lists this ribosomal RNA (518 nucleotides) under uncultured fungus. RNAcentral describes it as "SSU rRNA". It matches the Rfam family "Eukaryotic small subunit ribosomal RNA", at positions 41 to 564 of the family's 1831-position model. Lineage: Eukaryota; Fungi. The record is from RNAcentral.
AGAUAGCCAUGCAUGGUCUAGUAUAAGCACUUUAUACUGUGAAACUGCGAAUGGCUCAUUAAAUCAGUUAUAGUUUAUUUGAUAAUACCUUACUACGUUGGAUAACCGUGGUAAUUCUAGUGCUAAUACAUGCUUUAAGCCCCGACUUCUGGAAGGGGUGUAUUUAUUAGAUAAAAAACCAAUCGUAGUAAUNCGUUUACUGGUGAAUCAUGAUNACUAUUCNAAUCGCAUAGCUUUGCUGGCGAUGGUUCAUUCAAAUUUCUGCCCUAUCACCUUUCGAUGGUAGNAUACAGGACUACCAUGGGUAUAACGGGUAACGGAGAAUUAGGGUUCGAUUCCGGANAGGGAGCCUGANAAACGGCUACCACAUCCAAGGAAGGCAGCAGGCGCGCAAAUUACCCAAUCCCGAUACGGGGAGGUAGUGACAAUAAAUAACAAUACAGAGCUUUUCAAGUUUUGUAAUUGUAAUGAGAACAAAUUAAACCUCUUAACGAGAACCAAUUGGAGGGCAAGUCUGG